This 6960-nucleotide long non-coding RNA is filed under the name Capsella rubella. RNAcentral's name for it is "long non-coding RNA (CRUB_LNC001748)". The record is from RNAcentral. Lineage: Eukaryota; Viridiplantae; Streptophyta; Magnoliopsida; Brassicales; Brassicaceae.
CUGACGGUACAUAUAUGUUCUCCUAAGAAAUAUCCAAAAUUUUUACAAAAGUUGCUGUGAAAUUUUUAUAAACAAAAUCAGCACAAUAUUAUUUAUAGAUGUGUACAAACGAUCGUUCAAUAAGUAUAUUGGAUGUAUUCUACAAAAAAAAAAAACAAAAAAAACAACAAAUAUUCGUGUUUCUAAAAGUAUACAAUUUCUUGUUUGUUAUAUCACAUAUCAAAAAUAAAAAAAUUGAGCAUGUUUAGAUGGAGCAUUCAUAUAAGACUAGCUAGCUAGUAUAGUAUAAUUGUUAUAUAAAGAAAAUGAACCAAAAUAGUCACAUACUGUAUAUUAAAUUCUAGUAUAGAGUUAUUACAAAUGUCGUGCCCAUGAGGUAAUAACAAUAACAUACAUGGAGAGUAGAGAAACACACGAUCAACACAUAGACAUGUCCAAGAUAAAUAUAUACAUGCAAACAUGUUUCUUUUUUCACCAUUUAACCAAUCUAUUUUUAUUUUAAAUAGUAACAUAUUACAUAUACAUAUGAGUAUAUGACGUACGAUGAAACUCAUGUUACGAUAACACCUAGCUAGUGCUAGUUCUCCGGCGACCAGAGAAAAGCUCCGAUGACAAACUUCCUCUUCUCGUAAGAAUCUCCGAUGAUCGGCAAGCCGUACUCUCUAAGAAGCUGGUCCAAUUGCCACUCUGGCAUUUUCUCAUAAUCACUUUUCGUAUACUUUGGAUAAUGAAGUGGAAUCUGAAAACUUGAUUGGUUUUGAUGAGACUUGUCGUGAUUGAUGAUGUUCGUCUUCUUGCUCCUAUGAUCCUCACCAUCAUCUUGAUGAUCAUGAUGACUCCUGUAGUGAAUGGUUGUAGUCGAAGGACCAUGGCUGAAUCUGAUUCCCAUUUUGAUAUAUUAUUUGACAAGAAAGCUUAUUAGCUAGCUAGGUUUCUUGAGAUGAUUUGUAAUUAGGGCUUUUCAGGUUUUUCUUAUGUGGAUAUGGGAGAUGUGUUUAUUAUAUAGGAGGAGAAAACAAAUUUGUGGAUAUGUGAAGAACUUCGUGGGAUCAUGUAGAUGCAAGCACGUACUAGAUUUUAGAAGACUUAUUUUCUUUAAAGUUUUAGUUAUUUUUUUUUGCAACUAUGAAAAUGAUAAUGUUAUAUUUUUAGUUUUGUUCUUUUGUGUGUUAAUGUUUGUCUUUUGUGAGUUUAAUUUAUUUCGAUCGUCGACUAGAUCAAAUGCCAUAUACAAAAUUUUCAUUUCAUAUACAAAUUGAUAACGAGUAAUAAUAAAUCACCAUGAGUACUCUAGUAAUUAGACUCAAAACCCUAUGAAAAAAAAUUAGACUAAAAUUAAAGAUAAAUAUGUUGGUGUAUAUAUGUGUAAAGAGAUAUAUAUAUACUCGGAGAUACAUAUAAGUGUUCCCAAUACUAGAAUCAUGAUUAUGCAACAUCAUCAUUGUAGAGUUUUAUUAUGCAAAAGGAGUGUGAUUGGUUGGCGCCGUGGUUGAAGAGUUUUAUUUAAAAAAUUUAACUGUUGGUUGCCACUUUUAAAAAGUAAUUAUUAUUGGUUUAAGAAAGAUGCUAAACAAGAACAAAAAUAAAAUGAUUACGACUGUUUUCUAGGUAGAUUUUUAAAAUAAGUAGGGCCUAAUUAAUCAGAAAGAUAAAACAUGGAUUUAAAAACUUUCGAAUUAUUUAAAAGUCACUUCUUAUUUUCUUAAUUAGUGAAUGACAAACUGUAUAAAUAUUAAUUUUUUUUUAUGUAGAACACGCAAAUUUAUUUUAAGGUGGCAAAAGAGCUCUUAAAUUUUAAAAUGCACCUUAAUAAUAUAUAUGGAUAAUCAAAAAUACGUACUCACAUCUUGAAAAACAUUUCACACAUUUUAGAAAGCGGAUUUUUACAAUUUCAAUGUUAUAGGGCUAAUUUGUUUUGUUAUAUAUAUAUAAAAAACGAAUAUCUUGUUUGUAAUGAAAAUAAUCAAUAUUGGAGGUUGCAAUAUUAUCACCUCACAUAUUAAAUGCAUCAAGAUAACUCUUUUUCUUUUGUGUGUGUAUCUUUGUAUUUCUCAUUAAUUGGCUUUAGUUGAAUUUUACAAAUAUUCGUUUUCACACAAUAUAAGCGAAUUUAAUGCUUAUUUUUUGUUUUGUUAUCGACAUCCCUUAUAGUAACUGUAAGACUACGAUUGAAUUUAGUGUUGAAGCAACUUGGUGAUUGAAACAAAACAAAACAAAACAAAACAAAACAAACAAGUUUCUCAAUAAUUAAAUUUUCAUGCUUUGAAGAUGGUUUAACUCAGGUUUAUCAGACUCAAAACACGCAAAAUAAUGCUAGUAUUCUAAACUGCUAAUUCUCUAUUGGUCUAAAUGAAUAACCCUAAUGAUGAUCAUCUAUUAAAAAGCUCAAUGUAUACCGUUUCACACGACACGAUGACAAUUAUAACAUUGAAACCAUUAGUGGAAGAGUUAGUUUGAUCGUUUCUCGAAAUAAAUGAGGAAGAUGAGCAGACCCCAUUAGAGAUUCUUUGGAACCAUUCUAAAAUCUUUUCUACUUGCGCAUGCAUGCGACGACUAGUUCUUUCUCUUUAUUGUUUUACUACAAGUGAGUGAGUAGUGACCUAUCGUUACGGAUUUGGCUUUACCAUUUAUUUCACUUUUUGUCAAUGUGUCUUAAAUAACCUAUGCAGUGACUCGUGGCCAUCUAUGGGAUGUCACACUAGUAUGUAUGAUCAACUUCAAAUAUACGAAACCGUAUUAAGAAAAUUGGAUAAACUACCAUUUAUUAAGAAAUUGAUUGAUUUAUCAGUUUGUAACAACGAAGAUAUAGAUGGGAUGGGAUGAUAUACAAAGUUACGUAAUACAUCUUCAACCUCUUACUACUACAUAAAUGAGAAAAUCUAGAAAUAGUUUUGUUAUCAUUCUGUGUAGUCAUGCUCGACAUGUAUGACUAAUUGACUAGUGUUUUUGAAAUAAGAGAUGGAAGCUAAAUCAAAUUGUUCUAUAUUUUUUUUGGGUUUUUGUUUCUUACUUAAACUUUAACUUGUAGAACAAUUUGUUUUCACUUGACCAGACAGGGAAGGCCAAUACAAAGCAAGCCCAAUGUCUUCGAUAAACCAAAGCCGAACCGAACUCUUGAUAACUCAACCAAUAUCAGACCAGCCGGUCAAAACCAGGAACACAAUAAUUUUAUCUCGUACACACUUGUUUAAAACAACAAACAGGCUUCAACGAUCGAAUUUACUACUUCUGAUGUACAUUUACAAAGAAAAGAAUUGGUACGUGAAGAAACUAAAAUAACUCAUUUCGAAGUUUCUGAUUCCCUAACAGAGAUGAAGCUAGAAGAAGAUCAUUGCGUUCUUUUACUAGCAAUGUUGCCUUUCUAUACUUGUUGAACUAACCUUUUCGUCUCCAUUUGAUUCAAGAAUCUGUCUUUUCUUCUACGACAACUUGCUUUAAGGUCUUGGUAUGCGUUUCGUUUGUCACCGGUAAGUCCACGAGCGUUUGUGGAGGAGCAAAGUACAUAUGCAGCGACAUGAUGCAUAUGAUUAUACCCAAGAAAAGCUGCAGGAUUAAAGAAUAUCCAAAUGAGGCAUAUACAGGAAAGAGGAUCCGAUCCUAAGAUAAAUCAUACACAAACCUGCAGUGUUGGUUUGAAGCUGAAGAGGUAUAUGGAUGCAACCAUAGUAAGAAGCAUUGCCAUUGAUGUAGAAUAUACCUAAAAGACAAAUGUAAAUGUGUGUUUGAAAACAGAUUUUUCUUUUACUUACUUAUGUUUGAUGAUGAAGAACAAGAAUGAUCAUUUUACCUUCACAAUAUUGUCUGCAUACUUCAUUAACCAGGAGACCAGUAAGCCAGUGGAUCCGAGAUUCAGAACUACCAUCCAAGUGGUGAUGCUAUACCCAUCAAAGAUACGUUGCCACCAAGGACCCUUUUCAAACCCGUGUCGGAAAUCAUCUGCUAUAAGCCGGGCAACGUUGAAAAGAGAACCAAACCUGGUGACGAGUAAAGAAACAAAAGGUACGAUGAUUAAACCAUGGAUAUCAUUGGUUAAUGAAAAGGCUGCUAAGUUGAAUAAGUAGUGUGACAAUAACAUUCUUGGCAUGAGAAAGUUUGAUCUGAAGAAGAGAUACCUACGUAUAUAACUGCAAGUUUUGCCAGUAUAAGGUGUCGUUGUUUCUCUUCAUCAGAAACUCUGUGUAGAUUCCGGCUAGCGCAGACAAACCAGCUGAGAGGAUGCCCAGCAAAUAACCUUGUAUAGGUGCCGUGAAUAAAGAAUCACAUGAAGCUUCUCCACAUCCCUUAACCUGAGACAAGAAGACAAAUUGAAUGCUUGAAAUUUUGAUGCCAGCUUAGCUUUUGGAUUGCCAGAACAAAAGCAGUGUGCUGAAUGCUAAGUAGAACAACAUAAGGUUCUAAGCAGUAUGACAAAAAGGAGAACAUAAUACACAAUUCAAAAUGUUUAUGCAUCAUCUCACCUGGCUGGUAGUUGUUCCAACAGCUAAAAGACCAAUCGCCAUCCACUGAAGUUUAGAUAGUCUCCUUUUCAAAAAUAACCUAUAACAACGACAGAUUACAAAUUAGUUAGUUAACCCAAAGAGAGAGCUUGGCACAAAAGGAUAGUAUAGAGAAAGAGAAGGCACACAAAACAGAUACCUAAACAGUAUGCCAGUGGUCACAAUCUUCAAAUUACCCAUAAUCUGAUAAGUGGAUGUGUCCACAUNNNNNNNNNNNNNNNNNNNNNNNNNNNNNNNNNNNNNNNNNNNNNNNNNNNNNNNNNNNNNNNNNNNNNNNNNNNNNNNNNNNNNNNNNNNNNNNNNNNNCAAAUAAGCGCACACUCUUCCAAUCCGUAGUAAUCCUAGCAGUAGUUGAAGAAGAUGUCCGCAUCUCUCUCCAGAGAAAUAAACCAGAAAUGAUCAGCUGUAGAAGAGAAGUAAACAAACUCAGCAGCUAAAUAAGAAAUGCAAAAAAACCAGUACCAGCAUCAAGCUUUUUAGAGAAGAACAAGAUACCUUAAAAAGUUCAGCAAGAAAGGGUACAGUUGCGUAAUCAUACUUAUAACCUCCAUCGCUUUGAGAAAGAGUUGUUAAAAUCCCCUGUAACAUAAUUUUACUCAGUGAGAGAAAUAGAAACAAAAACUUAUCUAUCACUUUCGAAAUCUAUCCCGUGAAUAUCAUUGCCAACAUUUCAAUCUCAAACCUAAACACAGAACAUAAAAGUAUGAUGAUCAAGACUUCUAUAGACUAAUAAUAACAGCUUUCAGUGGAAACACAACACUCAGCAAAAAUUCUUCAGCUACAAAUAAUGAACAGUCAAUCUACAAAAUCACAAGCAUAAAGUGAGACAGAAUGAAUUCUAAGAAACCUAGCCAAAAUAGAAUGAAAUGGUCCCUAAAUCGUCAGAGAAGCAAUCGAGCACUCGCAAACGCAAAUUGAGUAUCUAAUCUAACACUGCUUGACGCCUUGGAAAAGAGCAAUAUCACACUCUAACCGACAUGAUCCAGAAUUAGAUUUGGCGACAGUAACACCACCGAGAACUCAAGAUCUAUAAACUCGACAUAAUUCUAAGAAUUCAUGGAGCGAAGAUAACAAUCUCGAUAACAAAAUCUCGAUUCGAUCAUAUUUAGCGCGACAGAAGAAGAAGAAGAAGACGAAGCAAAGAAGAAAGGAAUUGGAACCUGAGAGCUGGUGAGAAUGGUGAGAAGUACAGCAACAAAAUACCACGGAGUAGCCACCAUUCUUCUUCUUCUUCUUCGUCUUCGACUUCACACGACGAGCUCACUCAUCAUUUUCUCCUCUUCUCAACUGUACACAAUCGAUUCGCAUCACCGGCGUCAAAUUUUUCUUUCUCGCCUUCGCCAAUAAAAAAAAUAAAAAAAAUGCUAAAGUUGGAAAUUGGGCUUUUGGGCUUGACCAUUAUCAAACUUAUGGGCCUUAAAUAUAUGUCCGUUGUCCUUUGAUCGGCGAAAGCAAUAGAAAUAACAAAUUCUAAUAUGAAAAUAUUCACAUCUGCUUUGCAACAAGGCACUAUAAACAAUCGAAAUGAGACACAGAAUCUUCAUUUUUUCUCUCUCCACCUGACUGACUUUUCAAGUCGCAUUCCUGUCAAUAGAUUUGUAGCUUUCGAAGUAGCUUAAAUAAAAUAUAUACAUCCACUCCACACAGAGUACAUACAUAUUAAGAUAUGUUUAUGAUGAUAGUGAAACUAGAGAAGAGAAGAGGGUUUUGGCAAAAUAAUAUUUAAAGGGUCAAGUACAACCAAUUCUUGAUCAUCGUCUAGAGGCUGAAUUUGCUUCUCAUUAUGCUACUAAGAAGAUAGAACAAGUGCGGCUCCUGCAACGCCUCCUGCAGCGACUCCUGCAGCUGCUAUAAACAUAGCGGUAGCUAUUUGGAGGCCGCCACUUCCACGGAAGAGUCUCCUCAAGAUCAGUUUGCAGGACUUGUCAGCUUCUUUGUAAAGAAAACAAUCGGAUACUCCUUCAGUGAUGGCUUUUUGGUUCUACAGGCAUACAUAGCAGGGGAGGUCAGAUAUGAAGAUACAGGUGAAAUUAGUUAUAGCAUAGAAGAGCUAUAAGAAAGGCAUUACCUUUGUCCUGAAGUUAUGUACAGUAUCAUUGACAGCGAGAGUAUCACUCUGUAGUUUGAGGGAAUGAUCCUUCCAUCCGUCUACAAGCUUUUUAAGAAGAGCAACACUAGCUUCUAUAUUUUUUUUGUAGAGAAUAUCCCAUUGCUUAAAACAAUCAACGUUUUCGGUCACACAGCUGAUAGCAAUUGAUGUAGCUUCAUUGGCUAGAAAAGGAUUUCCUGCAUCUACACCUUCUCCAGCUAGUUUCAAGGAAAACGUGAAUAUCUGUUUCAGUGUGUUGCUUCCUGGUGCAAAGGCUACUUCCUUCAACAAGGGGUAAAUAGUCCCAAACCUCUCUGUUACCUGUGCGCACCAUGCUUGUGAUCAAAACUGACAACCGCAUCAAGGUUUUGUUUU